This 445-nucleotide ribosomal RNA is filed under the name uncultured bacterium. RNAcentral's name for it is "partial 16S ribosomal RNA". It matches the Rfam family "Bacterial small subunit ribosomal RNA", at positions 354 to 796 of the family's 1533-position model. The record is from RNAcentral.
GUAGGGAAUAUUGGUCAAUGGACGAAAGUCUGAACCAGCCAUUCCGCGUGCAGGAAGAAGAUUCUAUGGAUUGUAAACUGCUUUUAGCAGAGAAGAAACGCCUUCAUUGAUGAGGGUUUGACGGUAUCUGCGGAAUAAGCACCGGCUAACUCCGUGCCAGCAGCCGCGGUAAUACGGGGGGUGCAAGCGUUAUCCGGAAUCACUGGGUUUAAAGGGUGCGUAGGCGGGAAAUUAAGUCAGUGGCGAAAGUCUGUUGCUUAACGAUAGAAUUGCCGUUGAUACUGAUUUUCUUGAAUUGGGUUGAGGUUAGCGGAAUGUGACAUGUAGCGGUGAAAUGCAUAGAUAUGUCAUGGAACACCAAUUGCGAAGGCAGCUAGCUGGGCCUUGAUUGACGCUGAGGCACGAAAGCGUGGGUAGCGAACAGGAUUAGAUACCCUGGUAGUCC